UGUGUUGCCUUAAAAUAAGAUGCCAUUAGGCUUAAUAGGGAAUCUGGUGAGAAUCCAGAGCUGCCCCCGCAACUGUAAUUGCUGACGAAAUGAGCAGACCACUGUAUAAGUAAGCUUUGUAGGUGCUUAUAUGGGAAGGGCUCAAAGUAGGAGGAAGCAUAAGUCAGGAGACCUGUCUUAUUUUAAGAUGUUUC
RNAcentral lists this non-coding RNA (194 nucleotides) under Bacillus methanolicus. RNAcentral also lists the same sequence under 1 other name. Lineage: Bacteria; Bacillati; Bacillota; Bacilli; Caryophanales; Bacillaceae. The record is from RNAcentral.